Molecule: small RNA, 902 nt
Filed under: Cryptococcus neoformans H99
Lineage: Eukaryota; Fungi; Basidiomycota; Tremellomycetes; Tremellales; Cryptococcaceae
Description: Cryptococcus neoformans var. grubii H99 hypothetical RNA
Source: RNAcentral
ACAGCUUCUGGUUUUUGCCUCGCUUGUCCGUCCGUUGUCCAGUCAUCCAUUUCCGAUGCGGACGACACGACGACGCGACGUGCGCGACUCGCCCACACGAGACCAUUUUGUUAGUGAGUACGUCACGUAGUAAUAGGUACAGUAGUAGAAGUCGUUCCCUUCGCCAAGUGUCUCGACCUUUGGGGCUUUCAUUCAGACUUUAUGUUCCAGAUUCCAGCUUGGCAAACCAGCAAUCACCUAUGCUUUCUUUCCUAUGUCCUAGCGCAUAUAGCAUGCUUAGAUCAGCAAAAAAAGCUGGAAACUUGGAGCUUGCGUGUUCGGUCAGUCUUCUUCCUGCCCUCUAUCUGCAGGUGCGCGAUUCUACAUUUGCACUUUGCAUUAUCAUAUAUACUUAUUUACUCAUGUCCAUAUACUUAUAUAUUUAAUGAAUUGAGACGGCAAGGGAUGUUCUAUUAUGUUUUUUGGGGCAGAGGUCGGUAAUUUGCGUCCCGCAGACUAGGAGACCGGCUUUAGGAACGACGAGGAACAUACUUUGAUCAACGCACAACAGAGGCCUAUGGUUUAGGCUGAUCGUUGAUAUCAAAAUACACAGAUAACGCCAUCGAUAGAGGCUAGACACCAUAAGAAAUCAUACAUGUCACCCACACCCCCCACAACGAACUCCCCCCGCCAAGACGCCAAUCCUCGGCCCCAAACAAAGGUGAAACGCCAAGCAUCCACUAAUCGCAGAUUUCCUUACGCGAAGAAGAACGAUGAACAAGAUUACUAGAAUGGCAGAUGACGAACAAGACUGGCGGAAGAUAGAAAUAAAAAGAAUAAAGACCGACCAAAAGUAGCACGCAAAAAGGACUAAUUUGGAUUCCGCCCGAUAUGACAAGGAUGAAAAGAGACAUGCUUUACAC